GUAUUAUAACAAAAUUACCGAACUCCGAGGUAAAUUCUACACGGAAUUUCUCUAAGAAAAUGGCAAAAUCAAAAGUUCAAACACAUCAAACGAAUGGAUAACAACUGUUAUAUUCCCGACUUGGUACAUUUGUGUACAGGCAUUUUCUUAUGUAGAAAAUGGUUUAUUAAUUAACCUGAUUUAUUUUUUCAACCAGCUAAACCUCUAACGUUUAUGACAGUCGCAUAAAUUCAAUUAUAUUGACAACGAUGGUUGAACAAAUAAAACAGACUUAUAUGUAAUGAGUAAAAAUAUCAAAAAUGGGGGUGCAGCAGGCUACAAAGUGUUAUGAUCUUUUUUUAUUAACUAUAAAAACAAACAAAUAUGUCAACAAAGAAAAACAAAAAGGCAUCUAGACAGAGCACAUUAGCAAUACGAAAAUUUACCAUAGCACAAUAACACAACGCAUAGC
RNAcentral lists this long non-coding RNA (451 nucleotides) under Mytilus galloprovincialis (Mediterranean mussel). The record is from RNAcentral. Lineage: Eukaryota; Metazoa; Mollusca; Bivalvia; Mytilida; Mytilidae.